Schistocerca nitens (vagrant locust) is the source of this 102-nucleotide small nuclear RNA. The record is from RefSeq and is a predicted model, not a curated record. NCBI's taxonomy places the organism in Eukaryota, Metazoa, Arthropoda, Insecta, Orthoptera, Acrididae.
UCACUUUAGCAGAACGUAUACAAAAACUGGAACAAUACUGAGAAGAUCAGCGUGGCCUCUGCCCAAGUACGAACCACAAGUCAUGAAGCGUUCAACAUAUUU